RNAcentral lists this small nucleolar RNA (132 nucleotides) under Castor canadensis (American beaver). RNAcentral's name for it is "Small nucleolar RNA SNORA51 (ENSCCNG00000009248.1)". It matches the Rfam family "Small nucleolar RNA SNORA51". From Rfam's summary of the family: ACA51 is a member of the H/ACA class of snoRNA that guide the sites of modification of uridines to pseudouridines. Lineage: Eukaryota; Metazoa; Chordata; Mammalia; Rodentia; Castoridae. The record is from Rfam by way of RNAcentral.
GGCCUCCUGGUGCUUACCCCAGGCUGUGUUCUUACACUGACUAUACAGAAAGAGGAAGCAAAGUAAACCUACCCCAAAUACAUCUCAGCCCAGGCCUUGUGCCUGGUCUGUGUUGUGAGUGUGGAGACAAAG